UACGGGGGGAGCAAGCGUUGUUCGGAUUUACUGGGCGUAAAGGGCACGUAGGCGGCCACUGCAAGUCAGUUGUGAAAUCUCCGGGCUUAACCCGGAAAGGUCAACUGAUACUGCAGGGCUAGAGUGCAGAAGGGGCAACUGGAAUUCUCGGUGUAGCGGUGAAAUGCGUAGAUAUCGAGAGGAACACCUGCGGCGAAGGCGGGUUGCUGGGCUGACACUGACGCUGAGGCGCGAAAGCCAGGGGAGCGAACGGG
This 254-nucleotide ribosomal RNA is filed under the name uncultured bacterium. Its description in RNAcentral is "partial 16S ribosomal RNA". It matches the Rfam family "Bacterial small subunit ribosomal RNA", at positions 524 to 776 of the family's 1533-position model. The record is from RNAcentral.